GUAUAUAUUUCACUUUUUUCAUUAUAGACAUUCUAAACUCGUUUGUGAUAGAUGGACAUAGAACCCCAAGAGCAAAAGGCAAAGCUGGCCUUUCAAAGAAAAGCAACAGCAGUCCCUACUCGAAUGAGAACAUUCAUACAAAGGCUCGAGGGAUCUACAUGAGGUGCACAAGUUGGAAAAAUAAUAAAAAUGAGACAAGCGUGCACACACUCCAGAGGGGCCAGCAACAGCCUGUUCAAGUUUAUAAUACGAUAAUGAUCCUUCCGCAGGUUCACCUACGGAAA
RNAcentral lists this unclassified non-coding RNA (284 nucleotides) under uncultured fungus. RNAcentral's name for it is "sequence contains ITS1". The record is from RNAcentral. Lineage: Eukaryota; Fungi.